GCAGUCAUCGCCUGUAAAUUAUGUAAAAGUUUAAUAAUCGUCGCGGAGCGCUGACAGAUCGUAAACGCCUUUCAUUUACAAAUUAAUCACCGAAACUCUGGCACAGCCAUAUGCCGAUCAUGUCGACUUUUAGCAGCGUCCUGUAUAAGACCUCGUCAUAGUUGACGUUCAUGAAAAGAUGAUAGAGGAAAGAUCCGACCCACGGACUAACGGCGCCGAUCAAAUGGCACCAGGACAGAAUCCCCACGAGCGUUCCUUUUGUGUUCCAUGGAAGCAGAUGUGGUAUAGUCACUAGCAUGUACAGGAUAGCAAAUCCUGGGAACACACAUUUGACGAAAUCCGUGCUUGUGGCAGUCUAGCAAUCGAUCACCGGAAUCGUAAUUUUCGAAAGGACUCGCCACAUGACGCAGGAAGAAAUCCGCAGAGCGUGCAGUGCAUCACAGACUCACCGUGCGUCAGGAUGUUGACGGUCUCAUUGUGGAUGUAGAAGAGGCUGCCGAGGCACUGGC
This is a long non-coding RNA of Harpegnathos saltator (Jerdon's jumping ant), 509 nucleotides long. RefSeq lists it as uncharacterized. The transcript has 3 exons. The record is from RefSeq and is a predicted model, not a curated record. NCBI's taxonomy places the organism in Eukaryota, Metazoa, Arthropoda, Insecta, Hymenoptera, Formicidae.